CCUACGGGCGGCAGCAGUGGGGAAUAUUGGGCAAUGGGCGCAAGCCUGACCCAGCAACGCCGCGUGAAGGAAGAAGGCUUUCGGGUUGUAAACUUCUUUUAAGAGGGAAGAGCAGGAGACGGUACCUCUUGAAUAAGCCACGGCUAACUACGUGCCAGCAGCCGCGGUAAUACGGAGGUGGCAAGCGUUGUCCGGAUUUACUGGGUGUAAAGGGCGUGCAGCCGGGAAGACAAGUCAGAUGUGAAAGCCCGCGGCUCAACCGCGGAACUGCAUUUGAAACUGUUUUUCUUGAGUACCGGAGAGGUCAUCGGAAGUCCUUGUGUAGCGGUGAAAUGCGUAGAUAUAAGGAAGAACACCAGUGGCGAAGGCGGAUGACUGGACGGCAACUGACGGUGAGGCGCGAAAGCGUGGGGAGCAAACAGGAUUAGAUACCCUAGUAGUC
Molecule: ribosomal RNA, 442 nt
Filed under: uncultured bacterium
Lineage: Bacteria
Description: partial 16S ribosomal RNA
Rfam family: Bacterial small subunit ribosomal RNA
Source: RNAcentral